GGGGGUGUAUUGGUUUCGACAGGCGGUAGACUGGGUCUAUGGCUGCGGGCAGAGCGCCAACUCUUGAAACUAGCAAAAAAAUUAUCUGCCAAGAAAGAAGACGAGUUCGUCUCCGACGAAGCAGUACUUGCCCUCGCUGCCUGAUUGCAGUGAUGACAAGCAGGCCAGGUUGCUGCCGCUCUUAAGCGCCUGACACCUGUAAAAACAAGGGCUAACCUGGGAAAAGGACUGUGGUUCCCGGGGAAAUGCAAGCAGGAUAGGGUACCAGUACGUUCGCCACUGGACCGAGCGGUAUCCGAAAUACAGAUCAGUGACUACGCACGUAGACGUCAUAGGACGGCACGUUUGGACCUGGGUUCGAAUCCCAGCACCUCCA
RNAcentral lists this transfer-messenger RNA (376 nucleotides) under bovine gut metagenome. It matches the Rfam family "transfer-messenger RNA". From Rfam's summary of the family: Bacterial tmRNA, also known as 10Sa RNA or SsrA, is named for its dual tRNA and mRNA-like properties. Its role is to liberate the mRNA from a stalled ribosome. The record is from RNAcentral.